CCUACGGGGUGCUGCAGUGGGGAAUAUUGGACAAUGGGCGAAAGCCUGAUCCAGCCAUGCCGCGUGUGUGAAGAAGGCCUUCGGGUUGUAAAGCACUUUCAGUGGGGAAGAAAGCCUUGGGGCUAAUACCCUCGAGGAAGGACAUCACCCACAGAAGAAGCACCGGCUAACUCCGUGCCAGCAGCCGCGGUAAUACGGAGGGUGCGAGCGUUAAUCGGAAUUACUGGGCGUAAAGCGCGCGUAGGCGGUCUGAUAAGCCGGUUGUGAAAGCCCCGGGCUCAACCUGGGAACGGCAUCCGGAACUGUCAUGCUAGAGUGCAGGAGAGGAAGGUAGAAUUCCCGGUGUAGCGGUGAAAUGCGUAGAGAUCGGGAGGAAUACCAGUGGCGAAGGCGGCCUUCUGGACUGACACUGACGCUGAGGUGCGAAAGCGUGGGUAGCAAACAGGAUUAGAUACCCGGGUAGUC
RNAcentral lists this ribosomal RNA (465 nucleotides) under Vreelandella stevensii. RNAcentral describes it as "partial 16S ribosomal RNA". It matches the Rfam family "Bacterial small subunit ribosomal RNA", at positions 338 to 795 of the family's 1533-position model. The record is from RNAcentral. Lineage: Bacteria; Pseudomonadati; Pseudomonadota; Gammaproteobacteria; Oceanospirillales; Halomonadaceae.